GGUGUCUACAGUGAGUACAGAAUGAUAUAUUCUUUCAUCUUUUACUAAAGAAUACCGUGUGUUCUCCACUCAAACCUCAUAUGCCAAUUUCUGAAGGGUAUUCCUCGUUGAAUACCC
Small nuclear RNA from Hibiscus syriacus, 117 nucleotides. RefSeq annotates it as U5 spliceosomal RNA. NCBI's taxonomy places the organism in Eukaryota, Viridiplantae, Streptophyta, Magnoliopsida, Malvales, Malvaceae. The transcript has a single exon. The record is from RefSeq and is a predicted model, not a curated record.